CGGGGCGUAGCGCAGCCUGGUAGCGCACGUGCAUGGGGUGCACGGGGUCGAAGGUUCAAAUCCUUUCGCCCCGACCA
RNAcentral lists this transfer RNA (77 nucleotides) under Desulfobacteraceae bacterium 4572_35.2. RNAcentral's name for it is "tRNA-Pro". It matches the Rfam family "tRNA". From Rfam's summary of the family: Transfer RNA (tRNA) molecules are approximately 80 nucleotides in length. The record is from RNAcentral. Lineage: Bacteria; Pseudomonadati; Thermodesulfobacteriota; Desulfobacteria; Desulfobacterales; Desulfobacteraceae. RNAcentral also lists the same sequence under 1 other name.